CAGCAGCCGCGGUAAUACGUAGGUGGCAAGCGUUGUCCGGAUUUAUUGGGCGUAAAGCGAGCGCAGGCGGUCCUUUAAGUCUGAUGUGAAAGCCCACGGCUCAACCGUGGAAGGUCAUUGGAAACUGGGGGACUUGAGUGCAGAAGAGGAAAGUGGAAUUCCAUGUGUAGCGGUGAAAUGCGUAGAUAUAUGGAGGAACACCAGUGGCGAAGGCGACUUUCUGGUCUGUAACUGACGCUGAGGCUCGAAAGCGUGGGGAGCGAACAGGAUUAGAUACCCUGGUAGUCCCAGCUAUAAACGAUGAGUGCUAAGUGUUGGAGGGUUUCCGCCCUUCAGUGCUGCAGUUAACGCAUUAAGCACUCCGCCUGGGGAGUGCGGCCGCAAGGCUGAAACUCAAAGGAAUUGACGG
RNAcentral lists this ribosomal RNA (409 nucleotides) under uncultured bacterium. RNAcentral's name for it is "bacterial SSU rRNA". It matches the Rfam family "Bacterial small subunit ribosomal RNA", at positions 509 to 916 of the family's 1533-position model. The record is from RNAcentral.